GUGCUUGCUUCAGCAGCACAUAUACUAAAAUUGGGAUGAUACAGAGAUUAGCAUGGCCCCUGCACAAGUAUGACAUGGAAAUUCAUGAAGCAUUCCAUAUU
RNAcentral lists this small nuclear RNA (101 nucleotides) under Cervus elaphus hippelaphus. The record is from RNAcentral. Lineage: Eukaryota; Metazoa; Chordata; Mammalia; Artiodactyla; Cervidae.